GAGUGAACGCUGGCGGUAGGCCUAACCCAUGCAAGUCGAACGGCAGCACAGUAAGAGCUUGCUCUUACGGGUGGCGAGUGGCGGACGGGUGAGGAAUACAUCGGAAUCUACUUUUUCGUGGGGGAUAACGUAGGGAAACUUACGCUAAUACCGCAUACGACCUACGGGUGAAAGCAGGGGAUCUUCGGACCUUGCGCGAUUGAAUGAGCCGAUGUCGGACUAGCUAGUUGGCGGGGUAAAGGCCCACCAAGGCGACGAUCCGUAGCUGGUCUGAGAGGAUGAUCAGCCACACUGGAACUGAGACACGGUCCAGACUCCUACGGGAGGCAGCAGUGGGGAAUAUUGGACAAUGGGCGCAAGCCUGAUCCAGCCAUACCGCGUGGGUGAAGAAGGCCUUCGGGUUGUAAAGCCCUUUUGUUGGGAAAGAAAAGCAGCAGGUUAAUACCCCGCUGUUCUGACGGUACCCAAAGAAUAAGCACCGGCUAACUUCGUG
This 493-nucleotide ribosomal RNA is filed under the name uncultured bacterium. RNAcentral describes it as "partial 16S ribosomal RNA". It matches the Rfam family "Bacterial small subunit ribosomal RNA", at positions 27 to 507 of the family's 1533-position model. The record is from RNAcentral.